This 602-nucleotide long non-coding RNA is filed under the name Chrysemys picta bellii (western painted turtle). RNAcentral describes it as "lncRNA (ENSCPBG00000028411.1)". The record is from RNAcentral. Lineage: Eukaryota; Metazoa; Chordata; Testudines; Emydidae.
ACAGGGACCUGAAGGAGAAUAGAGUGCUGCAGGACACCUGGAAGGAGGAAGGUGCUCAAGGAGCUAUGGCCAUAACACCAGCAGAACCUCGGUAGGUGAGAAACUGCUUAACUAAUAGCUAUUGCAUUGCAGCAAAGGCAACGGCUACGGAGUUCUGAAACAACGCCUACUAGCAUCAGACAACGCUCACUAGCGGCCAUCGCUCACAAAGCAGCUACUAUGGCAGCAGGACCACAAGCCAUAGCAAUGGCUUCCGUAAGUAGCUAACGGCCGUUCCAUCCUAGUAAAGCAGCUACAACAGCACCGGAAGCCACGCUCGCUAGCAUCUUUCCCAAGCAGCUACAGCAGCAGCACCACAGAAUUCUAUGGUCUCCACUGCAACGACUCUUAUCUCAGGACUGUGGAAGAUGGAAUUAAGCCCCAGAAAUACUCGUUUCAGAGUAGCAGCCGUGUUACUGUUUCAGCCAUUUUGGGAAGUCCUAUCAAGAAACAGAGGAGAACCCACAACCAUCCUGUCAACCUAACAAGAUAAAACUGGCACACUUUGCUAAAGGAUACCAGCCAAAAAGGUGGGAUGAUGGUUUGAUGUCAAUUAAAUCAAA